Molecule: non-coding RNA, 73 nt
Organism: Potamilus streckersoni
Lineage: Eukaryota; Metazoa; Mollusca; Bivalvia; Unionida; Unionidae
Source: the annotation of a GenBank genome assembly
GCUCCGGUGGCCUAGUGGUUAGAGCAUCUGCCUCAAAUGCGGGAGGUCAUGGAUUUGAUCCCUGGUUGAUUCA